Molecule: long non-coding RNA, 641 nt
Filed under: Malus domestica (apple)
Lineage: Eukaryota; Viridiplantae; Streptophyta; Magnoliopsida; Rosales; Rosaceae
Description: long non-coding RNA (MDOM_LNC014249)
Source: RNAcentral
UGCAUCCUUAAUCGACAUACAAAAAUAAGUUAUAAAUCAAGCAGUUAAGCAAAUUAAAUCACAACUCAUAAAUCACAACUGAAGGUAAUCAAUUCAUAUUACAAAUAUAUUCAUGGCUUUGAAUUAACCUCUAGCCAAAAUAAAUUAGUUACACAUUAUUAAAACAAAAAUAAAACAUAAGUUUGGAAAGAUUUAACCGACAGAUAAGGCAGCUUGCUGAUUCUCUUCUUCUCCUCCCCGAGGCUCACACUGCUUCUGCCCUCAGUCCCCCUGACUUCCUUCCGUGCUGCUCCCCGCGCUUUUGCUCUCAGCUGCCAAGGCAGCCUUUCACGCUGCCAGCUAUCCUCACCUCCCUGUACGUGUCACUUCUCUCCCCCUGCGUCUCUGCGAGCUGCCCAAAGGGCAGCCCCUCUCUUUUCUCCGCUUUCUGCACGCCCCCCCUUUCUUAUGCUGCCUUCUCCUCGUUAUAUCCCGCACCUUCUUUUUAUUUUUUAUUCCAUCCCAUUUUCUUUUCUGACCUGUUCUCCAUUUGUCAAGAUAGCCCACUUCUUCUGUGUCUCCCGCACUCCUCUCUUUCUUUUAUUCUCACGCUGCCAACCCCACUAUGCAGUGCUUUCUCCUUUUUCCCGCAAGUCUGCCCG